Molecule: ribosomal RNA, 427 nt
Filed under: uncultured bacterium
Lineage: Bacteria
Description: bacterial SSU rRNA
Rfam family: Bacterial small subunit ribosomal RNA
Source: RNAcentral
UAGGGAAUAUUGGACAAUGGGGGCAACCCUGAUCCAGCCAUGCCGCGUGAGUGAAGAAGGCCCUCGGGUUGUAAAGCUCUUUUGUCCGGAAAGAAAAGCAUUCGGUGAAUACCCGGAUGUUCUGACGGUACCGGAAGAAUAAGCACCGGCUAACUCCGUGCCAGCAGCCGCGGUAAUACGGAGGGUGCGAGCGUUAUCCGGCUUUACUGGGUUUCAAGGGUGCGUAGGUGGGCUUAUAAGUCAGUGGUGAAAUCUCCGAGCUUAACUUGGAAACUGCCGUUGAUACUAUAGGUCUUGAAUUAUCUGGAGGUAAGCGGAAUAUGUCAUGUAGCGGUGAAAUGCUUAGAUAUGACAUAGAACACCAAUUGCGAAGGCAGCUUACUACAUAUAAAUUGACGCUGAGGCACGAAAGCGUGGGGAUCAAACA